AAUUUCUGAACUUUAGCCUUUGGGCGUUUGAGUUCAGCUGAGGCUUUUUCCACAAAGCCUAAACCAGAUAUGGUUCCAGACUUCUGUCCAACCUUUAGGAUCUCUUCCAAGGUGUCAGUUCCUUUAAUCAACAUUCUGAUGGAUUUAGUCAUUUGAUCCAGCUUGGAGGUCAGCAAGGUUAUCUCACCAUUUAUACCCUCUAUGACUGUUAGAUGCUUC
This 219-nucleotide long non-coding RNA is filed under the name Lathyrus oleraceus (garden pea). Its description in RNAcentral is "Pisum sativum (pea) long non-coding RNA (PSAT_LNC032252)". The record is from RNAcentral. Lineage: Eukaryota; Viridiplantae; Streptophyta; Magnoliopsida; Fabales; Fabaceae.